CGGCUCUCUGAAGUCCUCAGAGCACUGAUCGAGCCACGCUCGUAAGAUUGAUGCUAUUGCAUUCCUGAGUACUGUUUUGGAUUCAGAGGAAUUCUGGCUCCCAACUUCUUCACAGCUUGAGGUCUCCAGGUUUCCAUACCUGUCAAGGAGAAGCUCCAGUACUUCCUUAGUAGAAGCAAAGCCCCUGUAUGUUGAGAGAAAGAUACUGAUGUAGGUAAAAUCAUUAUCCCCAAAAGCUGUCAGAAGGUUCUCCACAAGUUUCUCCAAAGUUCCAGCCUUUAUUGUCCUGAUCUUACAUGUUUCAUACUGGCUGACAGUAUGUCCCGGAGGUAACUGGUCCCCUUCAACCCCGAGCCACCUCGCUCCUUUGUUGGCAGCUUGCUGAAUCUGCACUCUUUUCAGGGUGACAUGGUAAACAGCUCCCUCUUCCACCUCUUCACCCCAGUCCUGAAUUGAGCUCAUUUUAGCUUUCCACGGCAAUCUCAUUCUCAGUUCCUUCCCGGGCGCCUCGACGGGGCAUGCCGCAGCCGCCGGGCGCCGACGCCGCCGCUCCGCCCCGUCAGCGGCCGCCGCCGCGGGCCGGCCCGAGCCGCGCGGCCCCUGGGCUCCGCUCCGCUCCGCGCGGGAGGCGGGAGGGCGGGCGGCAGCGCCAGGCCCCGCCUCGGCCCGGCCCCGAGGUGCCCGGCCCCGCCGGGGGCUUCCUGUUGGCGGCGAGCGGCCCCGGGCCGAGCCGCGGCGGGGCCGAGGGAAGCGCCGUUUGCCUCCGCGGAGCGCGAGGUGCGGCACGGCCGCGUGGUGCGGGGACGCGCCGGGCGGGAUCAUGGCAGCCGCGCGAGCGUGACAGCAUCCAUCCGAGCGGCGCGGGGACAAAGGGCUCGGCGGGACCCCGCGGCCUCGGGGGCAGGGCGGCAGGGCAGGAGGGCCGUCUCCGAGCCGUUCGGGUGUAAAACAGACGCGCAGACGGGUGCGCGUGGCUGGGUUUGGAGACGGGUUUCUCUUCAGAAACUUACUGCUACAAGUUGCGAAGUAAGGAAAUGAAACGGAGCAGUCAGCAAAGCGCGGCUGCCGGCGGUGCCCUGCUCGCUGAGGUGCCAACGGCACGCAGCCGGCCCGGGGCCGAGCGGGUGGCACCGGCGGCAGCCGGAGAACCUCCGCAGGGUCGGACGCGGGGGAGUGGGACUGAGGUCUCGGUUGGGCGAGAUGAGGUUUAGCGUGAUGGGGGAGGCGUUCCGACCCAUCUGACCUGCACGACGGACGUUAGGAAACAAAUCCUGGCCACUCUCACCUCAAGAAAUGACUCCUCCUGCUCCUACCCACGCAACGUGAGAACACGCAGUGAUGGUCUCUUUGGUCAUCCCAAGGCCGACCAUCAUAGCGACAGCCACAGCCCUCCAGGAGACUGCUGGCUGCGCCUCCACCGAGUCCUCUGGACGACAGUGCAGUGUUAAGUUUGAGCAUACAGAGCAGGAGGCCCUGCCCGGUACACUGCCCUGCAUGACACGGCUCGGUGCUUCUGUCAUUGCUAAUGAGCAGAUGAGACCUGUGCCUGGGAACAGUGCUUCCAGCCCAGCCUCUGGGGCACCUGUCAGCUACCCAGCAAGAAAAGCUUCUCAUACUGAUGCUGUAUCAGCUCUUUAUUUAUUUCCCACCUCCCAUCUCAAUGAAGACUAAAAGCAAAACAUCCUCCGUUUUCUGAUGUGGGAGUCCCUUGCUUGCAGACAAGCCUGCCCACGUUGUCAAGCACUGCUCUGCCCACACCUUACAAGCACGAGCUGCUAACACGAGGAUCUCAAAAUACCUUAAAAAAACUACUUUAGGUUGGCUCUCAGGCUGGCUGUGGUGCCACCUGCUCUCGUUUGGUUUUCCUUCCUUUUUGGACUUAGCCAAGUUAGUGAAAGAGCUAAGAAUCGAAGCAGAGAGUUCCACUUUCCUGAAGCUGAGCUCCAACAAGCAGCGUUUUGACAUCUUUAUACACGAGUGUUACUACCAAUUACCUCAGGAGCCAUGCUGGUUCAGAGAGACUUGCAGCUGGUAAUAUGAGGAAGCGUAUGAAAGCAAGGAGCAUUAUUUUAAGCCAUGAAACCGAGAUUGAGCUGUGUUGUUACGGGUGAACAGAUGUGAUUAUUCUGCAGGCUGUGCAAUUAGUUUGUUUGUGUAAUACCGAAGUAAUCCAGAAUGUGCUGAGGCAGAUACGGACUUAUUCAUCUGACUACAAUUUAUUGUACCCUACAAAUUAAAGUCUAGAUUUUCCAAUGUCCCUCGGCUUCUCCUGGAAAAACUGCAUGCAGCCUUCUGAAUGCCUCACAUUUUGCAAAUGGUUUUCCACAUAAUAAUUUUUAGGUGCAAAAAAGGAGUCUGCACUGGAUUCAUGUAGCUUGCCCAGCAGGCAUGCAAGCAUUUUCAGAACAAAUUGCUAUUGAACAGGACAAGCAUAUGUUAGCAAAGGAAAAUGGAUAUCCAGCUACAAGGGAUACAGCAGUAAAGCCAAAUAAUUAUCCUGUACUGAAAGGAUUAUCAUGAUUUUCUGGUGCCACGUAAGUACACCAGUGCCACCACCAUUACUUUGGAGAGCACUCAUACACACACACACAUAAAAAAAGGGGUAGUUUUUUUCUAACUGCUUCUCUAAAAGCAAGAAAAUGGCAGUGAGUUAAAACAUUGGGAAGAAGCACAAACAUUUGACCCAAUUUAGCUUCCAUAGCAUUACAGAUUUCAGAGUAGGUCCCUGGGGAACACCUUCUCAUGGAGGGACAAGCUCAGCACUUUCCAUCCAAGGUGGGGCAUAAGCCCUCUCACAGAUGGCAUUUCCAAGCUCUCUUGGUCACCAGCAAGUGACAGACAGGCUGUUAGGAAGGAGUGCCAGAUGAACUCAUUGAGCUUCCCCAGCUCAACAGAUUUCACAGUGAGCCUUUAAGAUGGUACAUAUCCAGUGGGACACUCGGAUCUGUUGUGUCCUCAGACAACUGACCUGGGAAGGAAAUAACAGAAUUGCCUUGAAGGAUAAAUUCAUUGUCUACACAAAGAGUUAUUGCUCUUUAAGGAAGAGGCAGUUAAGAAAAACCCUCUCAGUAUUAAGGUAGCAUAGCCCUUCUGGAAGCCUUCAGUAUUUACUUGAUCUAAAUCUGAAUCUAGUUAUUUUUUUUAUUUAUCCCCAUAAAUCAGUUUACACGAUUAAGCUGCUGGAAACUGUUUCCAUUAAAAGGUUUAGCUGGGAGGUGAAAACUGCAAGCAGGAUGGCCAGGAUAGCACACAGUGCAACUCACUCUGAGAAACUCACUUAAUCUUACUUCACUCCCUACCUUGCAUACCAGUUAGAAAAGCAUUCAAGCACUAGCAUUACUUUAGCACAAGAAACAUUCACAUCAUAAAUGUGGACAAAUAAAGUCUUAAAUUUUUUCAGUGAACUGGAGCCUAGACGCUGAAAGCAAGACAGACUGCAGGCUUCAACCACCACAGGACUGAGUCUUCUCCCCACAAGCAUUGCACCCAACAUUUCAUUGCAGAGUCCAGCAAUCACAUUUUCAGUCAUCAGUUUUUACCCACACGUGCCUGUUUAUGCACAUACGUAUUUGUUUUGGUCUUGUAGAGUGUAAGGAAUACACUCAGUCUAGACUCCUAAAACUCUACCUUAGACGCAAACACGGACUAAUGCUGGAAAGGGGAGAAAAGCACACAUUGUACUUUACUUCCAUUUGGUCGCGUUCUAAGACAAUUAUGUAGUGUUCAACAGCUUAUUUGAGAUCAGGAGAUCAUCAAAAAGCACAGGAAGACAUGAAGACAAAGCAGCCUCUGGUUAAUCUAAAAGAUGUUCUGUAAAGGAUUCAAGGACAGCAGGAAGCAUUAAAAAGUAAAGAACAGCCUGCAACUUGGUUCACCAGAACUGCCGUAUUGCUGUCAGCAGACCUGAAUCAUGAAACUGAUCUGUACCAAUGAACCACACUCGUGGUCACAUUGUGUUACAUUUGCAAAUCACGUUCACAUGCAGUAAUGACACUGCUGCCAUAAUCAGGCCCUGCGUCUGCCCUUUCUACAGAAUCAGAAUUGUUCCUCUCGCACACCUGAGUGCAUCCUCCCUCUCCCUCAAAGCAAGAAAGAAAUACAAAUUGUGAAUGCAACCUUACACUUCUCACAGUGAAAUGUUAUCUAAGAAAUACUUCAGGGCCUGGAAAAUUCUCAAACUGCAGAUCAUUGAUCGCUUACAGCCCAACCAGAACUUCUCCAUCAUCCACAGAGAAAUAAGGCAGUCAGAGAGUGAUGAUUUUUCCUUGUUUUCAGCUGUUGCUACAGCUGGCAUGCAGGCGCUUUCGUGAGAAGACAAAGCAAAAGACCUACAAACCAGCUGGGAAUUAGGAAAGAUUAGUCUUAUUGCUUCUGCUAGAGGCCUAACAGAAGGUGCAGAGGAAACAGAAGUCAGAGAUAGCCAAGAAAAGAAAACAUUCAGAAGAGUGAAAGAAAAGGGCAAAGUAACCAGGUGAUGUAAGAAUCAAAGCAGCGUCUGCAUGAGAAAGGAGUCAUGUAGCUAAAAGAAAAGGAGGCAGGUACCAGAGAGCUGCACACCUUUAGGCUGCCACGGUGUGCAACUGUAAAUGGGAGGAAAGGAUUUCACCAGACGAUCUUUGUGUUCGUUCUGUAGAAAAUACCAGUCUAUGGUGUAGAAAAAAGCACGUUCAAGGAGACACCCCAGCAAUGGGUGGUGCGUCAAAUGUGCGUGCCUACAAAAGGAAAUAAAUACUGCUUCUAUUAAGACUAUCUCAUUAGUUAUUAUUGGUCUGGCUUCUUUAUAACCACAUUUAGUUCUUGCUUUAUGUUUAUGGCCACAUGCCCUCUUUUGAUAACUAACAGGUGCUGCAGUUCUUGAGGUUGAAGCUAUUUUAAAAGCUAAGAAAAUUCACAUGCAGGUGAGCUACAAAAGCUACACAAUGCAGAGACUGUGGAAAUGCCAACACAAACCAGUUUCAUAUUGCUUUAAUGAUUGUGGUCUCUGAACUGUAGUUUGGCUGCUGUUUACUACAGCUACCAUAUGAAAAUCACCCGCUAAUUCUUCUUUACAUCGAGUACACCUCAGUUCCUGCUUUCCAGUCAAUGAUACAGCUUAUCGGGGAGUCCUUUGGAUCAGCUCAACAUCCAAUGUGCUACAAUCUUACCUGUGCUAGAGGUCCUUGACCUCUCAGAGCAGCUCUCAGCCCUACACCUAAUGCAGUCAUUUCCAUCAGUAGGGUGGCAGAGCUGUGCACAUACCACGUGCUGAUGUAAAGGUAACAGAGGUGAGUCAGGUCCUCUGUCUUCCUCAUCUGAAAAUAAAUGCAGUUGGAUAUUUAUAUUCUUUAAAUAAUUGACAUGCACUGUCACUAUAUGCCAGCCAUGAAGAAAAACUGUUGGGAUCAAAAAUUAAAUUUGAAUGUCAAACCACUAACCAAUCAAAGCAACGUUAGAUUACAUACUGCAUGCCUGAUCUUCCACUGCCUGCAGCCUUUGCAAUCCUUACUCCUGAGUGAAAAGGGAAAAACAGCAUUCAACACUCAGC
RNAcentral lists this long non-coding RNA (5524 nucleotides) under Gallus gallus (chicken). Lineage: Eukaryota; Metazoa; Chordata; Aves; Galliformes; Phasianidae. The record is from RNAcentral.